Molecule: non-coding RNA, 1401 nt
Organism: Leptonychotes weddellii (Weddell seal)
Lineage: Eukaryota; Metazoa; Chordata; Mammalia; Carnivora; Phocidae
Source: RefSeq, a predicted model, not a curated record
UCUGCGUACCACUGACUAUUUCUUAGAUUUCCUAAAGUGGAACUCAUAGGGGAAUGCAUAUAAACAUUUUAAAAUCUGUUGAAAUGUACCACCAAAUUCCUUUCCAGAAAGGAUAUCCAACCAUACCCCCACUGCCAGGAACAUAUUUGAGAUCAACUCUGUUUAGCACCUUGUGUACCUGGUCUUAGGAAGCUGUGAGGUCUGGCCCCUGGUCACUGGGAAGAUGAAUGUGCUGUCUGGGCUUUGCAAUUAGAGAUCAGGAAGAGCAAAUCUUGGCUUAGAGAUCAAAGAUAAAGCAGCAGCUCCAUAUUCUAGGCUUACUCACUUAGUAAUCACUGCACACUAAGAUGGAUAAGCCAUUAUCUGUCAUGACAAAAGAAAGGGACCCCUGUAUUAAUGGGGUGAUUUUGAGGUAGUGAUUUGGAGUUGGGGCUCAUAAGUAAGUGCCUAUAUCAUAGAGCCAGUUUAUUCUUCUGACAUCACUGUCUCUAGAAGCUACCUUGAAACUCUUAUUUUCUAUUUUAAAUCUCUCUAAAUCUAUCAUAGGUCAAAGGCUACUGUUCUUUAAUAUGAUCUUGGUGGAAUAAUUUGCCUUGACUCUGGUUAUCCAUUCUUGUAUAAUAUUCUUGGCAUGAAAAUGUAUUGUUCGUCAUCACAGUUUGUAUUUUUACUUGUAUACCCUCAUAUAUUAGAAAGCAAAAGACUUUUCUAGAGCUAUGUCCUACAUUCCUUCUCUCCUGGAGACAAGUGUGAUCUGGGCUAAGGAAGUUGUAUUUUAGAUUCUCUGCCAUGAGAUAACCCUUUCAUCUGUUUUUCUCUGUCAUAGGAAAAAAACCGCAGUGAAGGCCGGCUCCUCAGUCUCUUGGAACAAUCUGAGCACAAGACUGCAGAUGCAGAAAUAAAGACCAAGUCUUCAGAAACAGGAAGCUUCAGGGUGCCCUCACCAGGGAUGGAAGAGGCAGGCUGCAGCAAAGAGAUGCAGAGUUCCCUUCCACAUCUCGACUUAAACGAGUCUCCCAUCAAGUCUUUUGUUUCCAUUUCAGAAGCCACAGAUUGCUUAGUGGACUUUAAAAAGCAACUUACCGUCCGGCCAGGUAGCCGGACACGGACCAAAGCAGGCAGAGGAAGAAGGAGAAAACCCUGAAUUUCUAGGGUCCAGACGUUGACAAAACCAUUAGCAAUAGGGGUGGGCCAUGGUCAUUAAGUCUUAGUGGCCCCUGUUUCAUUGUUGAGCAAGUUUUGGCCCUGCAGUUUUCACCACCAGCAUCCACUCAGCAUUCUCGUUUUGAUGUUUUCUAUAAGCUAUACAGACGAUUGUGUAUAGUAUUCUGUUUUAUAAUAGUCUGAUUCACUUACAGUUAAAAGAAAAUUUAAAUAUAUUUAUGUUUGUAUGAAAUCUUA